This is a non-coding RNA of Lingula anatina, 74 nucleotides long. Lineage: Eukaryota; Metazoa; Brachiopoda; Lingulata; Lingulida; Lingulidae. The record is from Rfam.
GGCAAGGUAGAUUAACUGGUUAAAGCGUCCGGCUCAUAUCCGGAAGAGUACGGGUUCGAGUCCCGUCCUUGUCA